AAUGUGGAUAUGCGAAUUUAACAGGAGAACAAGCAUUCCAAGAAUCGGAGGAUUUUUCGAUCGAAAUUAUUGUUUGAUUCGUUUUUGCUUCAACUGGAUUUAUCUUUUUCUGAUUUGUUGAACUGAAUUGGCCAAAGUUUUGUAAACAGAGGAAGAAAUGGAGUACGAAGUGGAAGGGGAAGCGAAAGUGUGUCCCAAUCAAGGAAGUCCAGGGAUUUCCCUGCCGAGGAAUAGUGAUUGAAGCAUUAUAAAGCAUAAAGAUGCUAGUGGGCGGAGCUUUUUCCAAUGCUGUUUCUACACAUUCAUUAGCCUAAGCUCUGGACAUCCCGAAGAUCCAUUCAUUGGGCCUCUGUGUCCAUGCCGAGUAUUAGUUAUAGGAAAUUAAGGAUCAUGGAGCAGUAAAAGUCGUGAUAAGUAAGCACCAAUAAUUUGCCCAACCCAUUUGCUAAUGGUCCAUUUACUACAAGAAAUGCACCUUAUAUUGCUUUCUUUCUAGCUCAGUAUUUUUUUUUUUUUAGUUGACCAAUGAGACGUUUAGUAGUUGGCAGCCUGAUUCAACAACAUGACUAAUAGGAAGUUGGCCACUUGGAUUACUGGACCAAAGUCAAAUCCCAUCACUCUUUAUUGGAAAAAGCUUAUUCAGUAAUGAUGCUUACUAGUUUUCAAUUGCUGAAGUGAGAGGAAGGUUGAAUAUCUUCCCUAAAUGUUCUAAACUUCUAUUAUCUUUUCCUUCUUUAUUUAGUUUUUGAGUGGAAACUUGUUGAAAAGGAAUUUCUGCAGUGUUUCUGGUCCCCAAAAGAAACAACUAAUCUCUCUUUUACUUGUAGGACUUUAUUUUCCUCAUUUGAUUGUCCAGCUCUAAGAGUUUCUUGUAGAAAAUCUCAUUUGUUCAAAGACAAAAAUAACUGUUAUUUGAGAUAGGAAGGAUUGAGUUCAAGAAUUUCU
Molecule: long non-coding RNA, 945 nt
Organism: Cucurbita maxima (winter squash)
Lineage: Eukaryota; Viridiplantae; Streptophyta; Magnoliopsida; Cucurbitales; Cucurbitaceae
Exons: 4
Source: RefSeq, a predicted model, not a curated record